Long non-coding RNA from Alexandromys fortis (reed vole), 2940 nucleotides. RefSeq lists it as uncharacterized. The record is from RefSeq and is a predicted model, not a curated record. NCBI's taxonomy places the organism in Eukaryota, Metazoa, Chordata, Mammalia, Rodentia, Cricetidae. The transcript has 4 exons.
CGAUGGAACUAGAAGAGAGGAAAUGUGUUCGCCAUGCCAUAGAUCCAAGUCAAGAUAGUUCCUGAAAGCCCUUGCUCCUCGCUCAGUUUCCAUUCUUGUGUUAUACUCUCAAACCACAAGGUGGGGUGAACAAGCAAGUGAGAUUUUACGGAAGCACACCCGGCAGUCAGCCUUCUGUUUUUGAAGGCAUAUAUUAUUAGUGCACAGGUGUAAGUGUUUGUGGUCAGGUUGCUAAGGGCAACAGCCCAUGGUUUCAACUGUUUCUCCAGGUCUUUUUGUUCCAGGUAGCAGGUGAAUUCAUGCUUGGAAAUGCAUACUACAGCAGCACUUGAAUACUAUGCUGGAAUUGCUGGGGCACCCUGCCUUGUGGGUUGAGAAGUUACCAGCUUCUUGUCUUCUCUAGUGUGACAUCUCCAUCGUUGGACUACCCAAACCACACAGUGAGGUCCUGCUUCUUAUUCCUUUGAACACAGCAAAAGAAAAAUAAAAGAGUGUGUCUACAUUUAUUUAAGCGUUAUUGUCAAGAGUACUCCUGGCAAAGAAAUGCUGGCUAAGAGUUGAAGAAACGUGAACCGUGUAGAACAGAAGAUUCCUCAAGACUGUAAAAUCAGAUGACUGACAGGCCUGGGUGCUUUGGGAGCCCUUUUCGCACCCAAGGUCCAUGAAUGAUGUAAUCGCAUCCUCUGAACGUACGUGAAAUGGAUUCUUGUCUGACCUUACCAUCUGGCUCUCAGAGUCUGCGGCCUCUGGAUGUGAGCAGUGGAAUGGAGAGGCCAAGGCACAUUGCUCCGAGAAAGAACCAAGACCCUCCCUGUUAUGUCCAGGCUGAGCGUGGUAUCCAUCCAAAGAGAAUGGGUUCCAAAAAAGCCAGUACAAGCAACAGGGACAAAUCCUGGUCCCACUGCCAGUGACCCCGCAGUCUGCCCCAGCCACACAACUGUCACCCACACUCAGAGAGUCUAGCUUGGCCCUAUGCUGGUUUCUUCCCAGUCCAGCUGGAGUUGGUGAGCUCCCAUUAGCUCAGGUGAGCUGUUUCAGGGGUGUCCCCAUCAUGGUCCUGACCUCUUUGCUCAUAUUCUCACUCCUCCCACUCUUCAACUGGACGUUGGGAGCUCAGUCCAGUGCUCCGCUGUGGUCUCUGCCUCUGCUUCCAUCAGUUGCUGGAUGAAGAUUCUAUGGUGACAUUUAAGAUAAUCAUCAGUCUGACUAAAGGGCAAGGUCAGUUCGGGCACCUUCUCCACUAUUGCUUAGGCCCCUAGCUGGGGUCAUCCUUGUGGAUUCCUGAGAAUUUCUCUAGUGCCAGGUUUCUUGCUAGCCCCAUUCUUUUUUUUUUAAAUUAGCUCUUCUCUUCUUCUUUUUUUUAAAAUUAGCUCUUCUUAAAAUUUUAUUUCCUUUUGGGUAUACUGAAUGCUGGGUUUACUUUGCUUUUCUUGUUUUCCUUUCUAGUCUCUGUGUUUACUGUCCGUGUUCCUACUAGAAGUGAGAUCAAUGGGAACAGUAACCUUGACAGUCCUGAUCCCCACUGUCUAGAACAGUGCCUGGUAAAUGUGUAGUCAACAAACAUUCACUGCGCACAUGCGUGAGCGGAUGACCGUACCCAGUGAGCUCACUCUGGGGUCCCCGAGACGGGAUGCUGAUGCAGUGGCUCCAGAGCUGUGCUGAACCCAUGCCUAUCUCCUUUUCAUUCAAUAUACCUUUAAUCAGAGGCACUUGAUUUACUAAUUGAUUACAUUAGAAGCCGACGUAAUGCCUAAAUUCUGCUAAGCAUUCCUGGAAUAGCCGGCCCUAAAUAUUAUUCUGAUAAAAAGCAUGACUUCAUAUCUUAAUCACAUUAGGUUAUAGGGCAUUAGUCGAUAAUGACUGUCAAAUUUCUGGACUCUCCACGUGGGGAAGAAGAUUAAAAAAGAAAGUUAUGAUAGAAAUGAAACUCUGCAGAGGGAAAUUCCUAAUAUUUGAGGAGCGACAUUGAAGUGUGUCCUUUAAAUUCUGCUGAGGAAAGAACAGUUCUUUUGAUAAUAAAUCUAUCUCGUACAUCUUCCUUGUGUCUCAUCUUGUGUGGCCAUGAAAGAAGCUUCCAAAUAAUGGGUUUAAACAAAAUAGCAAUUCGUUUCUCUUUUUUUUUUCUCUUUUCUACAAAAUGCCAGGCUGGCCACUCCUAGGUGUCAACUACCAUGCACUUUCUCUCUUGACCCGUCUCUCACUCUGCUUUGAAAAAUAUGAUGGUGGACGUUCUUAAAUUUAUCCCAUAAUCCAACAUGGCAACUCUUGCUCAGACAGGAUUUCUUCACUGAAACUCUCAAGGAACAAAACAAUUGGAAGGAGAAGGGUAUGCCUCUUACGGAACACUUUCUUGUAGUUACACAGAUUUCCCGCUUGGAUUUCUUGGGUCACACAUUUGAUUUGCAGCAACACUUAGUUAGCUUCAAGGAAUUCUGAGAAAUGCCCCUUUGGUUUUACAAAGAAUUUCAGCGAUAGCCCAAGCUCCAAGGUUCCAUUUCUGUAAGUGAGGACACAGCCUCUUUCCCUCCUAUCAACUGGCCCUGAAGUUUCUGAGCUAUACAGAAGAGUGAGCUUGUUGUGUUUCUAUAAAGUGGGCUUGUGGGGAAUCAGUAGGCACAAAUGGAUUCAAUUUAUUACCAAAGAUGUAAGAGAGUCUAUGGCUUUCACUGGUUCUCCUCAUCAGUUUGGCAUGCCUUCAGUUAGGAGCUAAGCCUAGAGUGCGCUGGUUUGUACACACUCUGAUGGUGGCAAAGAACUGAGCAACCCAAUGCUCUUACCUAAAACAGACAUGGUUUUUUGUUUGUUUGUUUGUUUGUUUGUGAGACAGGACUUCUCUGUGUAACAGUCCUAGCUGUCCUGGAACUAGCUUUUGUAAAUGAGACUGGCCUAAAUCACAGAGAUCCACCUGCCUCUGCCUCCCAGGUGCUGGGAUUAAAACCA